GACGAACGCUGGCGGCGUGCUUAACACAUGCAAGUGGAGCGACGAACCAGGCUUCGGCCUGGGGCAAAGCCGCGAACGGGUGAGUAACACGUGGGUAACCUGCCCCGAUGACCGGGACAACCCGAGGAAACUCGGGCUAAUACCGGAUGUGGUCACCUCACAUAAGUGAGAUGACUAAAGAUAGCUUCGGCCUUCGCAUCGGGAUGGGCCCGCGGCGCAUUAGCUUGUUGGUGGGGAAAGGCCUACCAAGGCGACGAUGCGUAGCUGGUCUGAGAGGACGAUCAGCCACACUGGGACUGAGACACGGCCCAGACUCCUACGGAGGCAGCAGUGGGAAUCUUGCGCAAUGCGCGAAAGCGUGACGCAGCAACGCCGCGUGGGGAAG
This 385-nucleotide ribosomal RNA is filed under the name uncultured bacterium. RNAcentral describes it as "bacterial SSU rRNA". It matches the Rfam family "Bacterial small subunit ribosomal RNA", at positions 28 to 409 of the family's 1533-position model. The record is from RNAcentral.